CAACUCCUCUCUCUCUCUCUCUCUCUCUCUCUCUCUCUCUGUUUCUAUUGAUGACAUUGUAAGUUGAGGGGAGUGUUGCCUGGUUCGCAAUCUUUCACGACAACUAAUUAACCUUAAUUGCCUCGUUCGUACGUUGGUUGGUGUGAAUGAUUUCGGACCAGGCUUCAUUCCCCUCAACCUCGCCCAUGUUUCAAUACAAUUUGCACUAAACUGCAGAGUGAAUGGACGGAUCGGAUAUCAUAAAGCAGCAGAUGAUUGGCACCUGCAAUUAAUAAACGGUGGCCAGUAGUGAAGCAUUAUACGGUGGAUUUAUGAUUUGCUCUCCAAAAACAUCUAUUAACAUGCCUACAAAUGGUAAUAUAACUUACAUUGAAAUUAUUU
Ipomoea nil (Japanese morning glory) is the source of this 381-nucleotide long non-coding RNA. RefSeq lists it as uncharacterized. The record is from RefSeq and is a predicted model, not a curated record. Lineage: Eukaryota; Viridiplantae; Streptophyta; Magnoliopsida; Solanales; Convolvulaceae. The transcript is spliced from 3 exons.